Molecule: ribosomal RNA, 1109 nt
Filed under: uncultured organism
Description: bacterial SSU rRNA
Rfam family: Bacterial small subunit ribosomal RNA
Source: RNAcentral
GCGUGAGCAAUCUACCUCUAAGUUCGGAAUAACCCCGCGAAAGUGGAGCUAAUACCGGAUGUGGUACCUCGUCGCAUGGCGAGGCUAUUAAAGGUGGGGAUCCUUCGGGACCUGCUGCUUGGAGAGGAGCUCGCGUCCCAUCAGCUUGUUGGUAGGGUAACGGCCUACCAAGGCAUACGGGUAAGCCGGCCUGAGAGGGUGACCGGCCACACUGGGACUGAGACACUGCCCAGACUCCUACGGGAGGCUGCAGUCGAGGAUCAUUCGCAAUGCGCGAAAGCGUGACGAUGCGACGCUGCGUGGAGGAUGACGGCCCUAGGGUUGUAAACUCCUGUCAUGAGGGAACAGCCGGCAAAGGGAUAAUACCCCUUCGCUCCGAUGGUACCUCAAGAGGAAGCCACGGCUAACUCUGUGCCAGCAGCCGCGGUAAUACAGAGGUGGCGAGCGUUGUUCGGAUUUACUGGGCGUAAAGGGUGCGUAAGGUGGUUUCGUAUGUCGGAUGUGAAAGCCCGGGGCUCAACCCCGGAACUGCAUUCGAAACUGCGGGACUAGAGUACAGGAUGGGAGAGCGGAAUUCUUGGUGUAGCGGUGAAAUGCGUUGAGAUCAAGAAGAACACCGGCGGCGAAGGCGGCUCUCUGGAAUGUUACUGACACUCAUGCACGAAAGCUGGGGUAGCAAACAGGAUUAGAUACCCUGGUAGUCCCAGCUGUAAACUGUGUGCACUUGGUGUUGGCGGUAUUGACCCCGCCAGUGCCGGAGUUAACGCGUUAAGUGCACCGCCUGAGGAGUACGAUCGCAAGGUUAAAACUCAAAGAAAUUGACGGGGGCCCGCACAAGCGGAGGAGCAUGUGGCUUAAUUCGAUGCAACGCGAAGAACCUUACCUGGGUUUGACAUCGGAGAGGCUUGCCUCUAGCGCGUGAAAGCGCGUUAACCAGACAGGUGCUGCAUGGCUGUCGUCAGUUCGUGCCGUGAGGUGUUGGGUUAAGUCCCGCAACGAACGCAACCCUUAUGUUUAGUUGCCACCCCCGAGCAAUCGGGGCGCACUCUAGACAGACUGCCCGUACAAGCGGAGGGAAGGUGGGGAUGACGUCAAGUCCGUAUGGCCCU